GCGGAGGAAAAGAAACCAACCGGGAUUGCCUCAGUAACGGCGAGUGAAGCGGCAAGAGCUCAAAUUUGAAAUCUGGCCCCUUUGGGGUCCGAGUUGUAAUUUGCAGAGGAUGCUUCGGGUGCGGUCCCCGUCUAAGUGCCCUGGAACGGGCCGUCAUAGAGGGUGAGAAUCCCGUCUGGGAUGGGCGGCCGCGCCCGUGUGAAGCUCCUUCGACGAGUCGAGUUGUUUGGGAAUGCAGCUCUAAGCGGGUGGUAAAUUUCAUCUAAAGCUAAAUACUGGCCGGAGACCGAUAGCGCACAAGUAGAGUGAUCGAAAGAUGAAAAGCACUUUGAAAAGAGAGUUAAACAGCACGUGAAAUUGUUGAAAGGGAAGCGUUGUCCACCAGACUCGCCCGGGGGGGUUCAGCCGGCACGUGUGCCGGUGUACUCCUCUCCGGGCGGGCCAGCAUCGGUUUGGGCGGUUGGUGAAAGGCCCCGGGAAUGUAACACCCUUCGGGGUGCCUUAUAGCCCGGGGUGCCAUACAGCCAGCCUGGACCGAGGCCCGCGCUUCGGCGAGGAUGCUGGCGUAAUGGUGGUCAACGGCCCGUCUU
Molecule: ribosomal RNA, 590 nt
Filed under: Talaromyces verruculosus
Lineage: Eukaryota; Fungi; Ascomycota; Eurotiomycetes; Eurotiales; Trichocomaceae
Description: partial large subunit ribosomal RNA
Rfam family: Eukaryotic large subunit ribosomal RNA
Source: RNAcentral